UAGGGAAUAUUGGGCAAUGGACGCAAGUCUGACCCAGCCAUGCCGCGUGCAGGAUGAAGGCGCUCAGCGUUGUAAACUGCUUUUAUCAGGGAAGAACAGCAGUCCUGCGGGAUUGUGUGACGGUACCUGAGGAAUAAGCACCGGCUAACUCCGUGCCAGCAGCCGCGGUAAUACGGAGGGUGCAAGCGUUGUCCGGAUUUAUUGGGUUUAAAGGGUGCGUAGGUGGUUUUUUAAGUCUGGUUUGAAAGCUGGUCGCUUAACGAUCAGAUGUGGCUGGAAACUGAAGAACUUGAAUGCGUUGGCGGUAGCCGGAAUGGGUCAUGUAGCGGUGAAAUGCAUAGAUAUGACCCGGAACACCGAUUGCGAAGGCAGCUUACUAAACUGAUACUGACGCUGAUGCACGAAAGCGUGGGGAUCGAACA
This 422-nucleotide ribosomal RNA is filed under the name uncultured bacterium. RNAcentral describes it as "bacterial SSU rRNA". It matches the Rfam family "Bacterial small subunit ribosomal RNA", at positions 355 to 774 of the family's 1533-position model. The record is from RNAcentral.